RNAcentral lists this microRNA precursor (86 nucleotides) under Chlorocebus sabaeus (green monkey). RNAcentral describes it as "miRNA (ENSCSAG00000023019.1)". The record is from RNAcentral. Lineage: Eukaryota; Metazoa; Chordata; Mammalia; Primates; Cercopithecidae.
UAUUAGGUUGGUGCAAAAGUAAUUGCGGUUUUUGCCAUUACUCUCACUUGCAAAAAAAACACAAUUACUUUUGCACCAACCUAAUA